Molecule: ribosomal RNA, 306 nt
Filed under: uncultured bacterium
Lineage: Bacteria
Description: partial 16S ribosomal RNA
Rfam family: Bacterial small subunit ribosomal RNA
Source: RNAcentral
UACGUAGGCAGCAAGCGUUGUUCGGAAUUACUGGGCGUAAAGAGUGUGUAGGCGGUGCUCUAAGUUCGGUGUGAAAUCUCCCGGCUCAACUGGGAGGGUGCGCCGGAAACUGGGGUGCUGGAGCGCGGGAGAGGAAAGCGGAAGUUCCUGGUGUAGCGGUGAAAUGCGUAGAUAUCAGGAGGAACACCGGCGGUGUAGACGGCUUUCUGGACCGUAGCUGACGCUGAGACACGAAAGCGUGGGUAGCAAACAGGAUUAGAUACCCGUGGUAGCUCCGACGAACCAAGUCUCGUGACCUGACCGAUA